UACGUAGGGUGCGAGCGUUAAUCGGAUUUACUGGGCGUAAAGCGUGCGCAGGCGGCCCGUUAAGACAGGUGUGAAAUCCCUGGGCUCAACCUAGGAAUUGCGCUUGUGACUGGCGGGCUCGAGUACGGUAGAGGGGGGUGGAACUCCUGGUGUAGCAGUGAAAUGCGUAGAGAUCAGGAGGAACACCGAUGGCGAAGGCAGCCCCCUGGGCCUGUACUGACGCUCAUGCACGAAAGCGUGGGGAGCAAACAGG
RNAcentral lists this ribosomal RNA (253 nucleotides) under uncultured microorganism. RNAcentral describes it as "partial 16S ribosomal RNA". It matches the Rfam family "Bacterial small subunit ribosomal RNA", at positions 524 to 776 of the family's 1533-position model. The record is from RNAcentral.